CGCAGGCGGCCAGGUCAGUCGAAUGUGAAAGCCCCCGGCUCAACUGGGGAAGGUCGUUCGAUACUGCCUGGCUCGAAGAUAGGAGAGGGAAGUGGAAUUUCAGGUGUAGUGGUGAAAUGCGUAGAUAUCUGAAGGAACACCAGUGGCGAAGGCGACUUUCUAGCCUAUUCUUGACGCUGAGGCGCGAAGGCUAGGGGAGCGAACG
Molecule: ribosomal RNA, 205 nt
Filed under: uncultured bacterium
Lineage: Bacteria
Description: partial 16S ribosomal RNA
Rfam family: Bacterial small subunit ribosomal RNA
Source: RNAcentral